Molecule: unclassified non-coding RNA, 253 nt
Filed under: uncultured Phycisphaeraceae bacterium
Lineage: Bacteria; Pseudomonadati; Planctomycetota; Phycisphaerae; Phycisphaerales; Phycisphaeraceae
Description: contains 16S-23S intergenic spacer region
Rfam family: Bacterial small subunit ribosomal RNA
Source: RNAcentral
CACGGAAGACCCAAGCGCUACCCGGAAUCACUGGGCUUAAAGGGUGCGCAGGCGGGCCUGUAAGUACUUUGUGAAAUCCCAGAGCUCAACUCUGGAAUCGCUCGGUAAACUACAGGUCUUGAGCCCGACAGAGGUCGUCAGAACGCUAGGUGGAGCGGUGAAAUGCGUAGAUAUCUAGCGGAAUGCCAAAGGUGAAGACAGACGGCUGGGUCGGAGCUGACGCUCAGGCACGAAAGCAUGGGUAGCGAACGGG